AUGAAAGCAAAUGAGCUCUCAGGUGCUGUGCUUCUGAUUUAUCAUUAGCAAAGAGCAUCCCGGUGUCAGUCCCACAGGGGAGGUGGCUGAGACCAGUCAGCCGUAUUUACAGCCUGUGCCGCUCUGCAGCGAGCCUGACCUCUGCUCUGUAACAAAACCUUCUUGUGAUUCAGGGUUGUACUGGAGUGGAGAUAAAUUAAAGGCCUGAGGGUUUUAUCAGACUAAGUAUGAAUGAUAAAAUAGUGCUGGCAUUCCUGCAGUCGUAUAAUUUAACAUAAGGUUCAUUUAGUUUGAUCAUGCCCCUAAAUUUUUAAUUUUUCACUGUUAGAUUUACUUCCCUCCUUCCUUUUCUGAGAAACUUGUGACUGUUUCAUGGAGAUAUUCUGACAAAUAUGAACAGCUUUGCGGAUGUUACUGGGGCUCUUGGUACCCACAGAAAUUGCUGUCUGGGGUCAGGGAUAAAGCAAAGGAGCUGAAGGCUUGUGAGCAUCUUGGCUUGGGAAGGAACCCCAGCCCUGCUCAGGGGCUGCUGCUGGGAUAUGCUCAGACCACCUCAUGGGGAAAGGCCUUGCAAGAGUCUGGAGGGGAGGCUGCUGUGGGGUUCCAGCAUCCUUGCCUGGUUUGGAAAACAGCUGGUUAGCUGACAAGGGAAUCUGACUGCAUCAAGCA
Molecule: long non-coding RNA, 669 nt
Filed under: Anser brachyrhynchus (Pink-footed goose)
Lineage: Eukaryota; Metazoa; Chordata; Aves; Anseriformes; Anatidae
Description: lncRNA (ENSABRG00000021942.1)
Source: RNAcentral